CCUGUCGUUUUCGCGAUCGUCGUUGUCGCCGUGGACGCUGCCGACGAUUCGGUUCUCGUGGUCGUCGGGCCGGUCGACGAGGCGGUCGUCGAAGAGGUUUCGGCGAGAGAGGAGCGAUCCGUUAAACUCGGCGUUAACGAGGACGAUGCCGGGCUCGUUCCGUGGUCGAUCGUCGAAACGAAAAGAUCGGGAGAAACCGGCUUCGAUACGGUGUUAGCGGCAAUGCUCGCGCUACCGUUGUCGUCGCUGUUACCGUUAACGUCGACGUCGAUGCUGUUUCCGACGCUAGCGGUGCCGCCGAUUACGGCGUUGCUACCGUUCGAUGAAAUCGUCGAAGAUGCAUCGUCCAACUGGGCAUCGAUUUCGAGAACGGAUAUCGCUUGCUUCCCCUUCAAGGCACUUCGAACGUCGAUCUGCGAUUGCGGCGGUAAAGCCAUGCUUCCAACGAUCAUCACCACGAACCAUUUACCGCCUCGAAUCGACUGCAUUAUCUCGGCGAGUUCUCCGAUCAACGGGAAGAUGAAAGGAACGCGAGUUUAUCGCGUUUCGCUCCGUAACGAUUACGUAUAUCCGUUGCGUGACCUAAAACGAACGAACGAAACGUAUGAAAGGACGAGCCGCGAGUAAAAGGGACAUUUUGACGAGAGCACGUUCGAAUCCCGUUGCUGUUUCCGCGUUCGCGUUUAGCAGACGUAGACGAAGAAGCGGAUCCGUGGCCGUGACCGUGGACGGUGUACGGAAUACGAGAACGACGCGGAAUCUCGAGAGCCGUGGUCGUCGUGGUCUUGGUCGUGUCGUGUCGUGGAUGCUCUCGUUUCUCACGCGUCUCUCCGUAGCUUUCGCGGUAUAGCGAUAGCGCGAGAGUAGCCGAGCCGUUUCAUCGAAGAGAGCAGUAGGCCGUAGAGAAGAGUGAAAUGGGAGGGAGGAAAGUGACAAGGGGAAGGAGAACGCAGAGGGAGAGUUCGAGCUCCCUUAACUCUGCUUAACGGUAACGUUGCUUUUUCUUUUAUUUUCUUUCGUCGACCGACCGAACCUCCAGCGAUUUCCUUGUCGUUUCAUCCGAUCCGAUUCGAUCACGAAAUUGAAACACGCGAAUCGAGCAGCUAACACCGAACAAAACGAACGGCGAGCAGCGAAAGACGAACGAGCCGCGAUGUGGCACGUCGGCCCACGUGUAUUUCUCCGCUCGACUCUCUCCGCGAAUCUCUCCGCGAUCUCCCCUCUAUCCUCUACCCUUCCCUUCUCGCGCUCCUGACCCUCGCCGCUUCCUUUUCUUUUCUUUUUCUUUCCUUCUGUAUUUACAGAUUUUUCCUUUUCCUACCAACACAGGCCUCGUUUCAACCACGGAAUGUCCGAAAAGUAAUAAUUCUUUCCUUCCCGAUGUAGAAACGUUACAGGUUUUCGAUCGGAAAACUCGUCGAAAGUUUAGAAGCGAUCGGUUCGCGAACGAUACGCGCGACUGAACGCGGUCGACGAUACAACGAUUUUCUCGCUUCCUUAUUCGCAUGGUCGUGAUCGUUAGUCGUGGCAGCGAUGCUGGCCACGGCCGCGAUGUAGUCGUAGUCGCGUUGGAGUUGUAGUUCGCGUUCGGGAUGCUAUGCCGUAGUAAUUAUAGCGCGAUAUAAUUCAGCAUGCGGAUACGGUGAAAUUAGGUUAACCUGGUACGUUUCUCGCGAGCCGUUAUCUUUGCAUUUUCAAGGCCGUGCCGCGUGCAGUUGUACCACUAGGAUCCGCUCGACCAAUCAGUGCACAGUGUACAUACUUAUCUACCGUGACACUCGGCCGGUGCGAUGCGAGCUAUCCACGCAUAUUUUCUUCGCGUCUGAAUAUUCCUUUCGUUUUCUUAUUUUUUCGCGCCUUUUCUUCCUCGGUCGUCUUACUUCCUUCCCACGAUUAUUCUUGGAAGGUAUUGUUUUUACAAAAAGCAGCUCUUGUCAUUUAUAGCGGAAAAGUUUUCGAACCGCGCGGGUUGCAGCGAUCUAAUUAGUUUCAUCUUGACACGCGCAACCAGUGCAUCCCGAGACGAACGAGUAUCGAAUUCGACAACAAAAUAUAAACAGUCGACUGGUGAAUUAAUUUGCUUCGGAAAGGAUUACGAUGUUUGUGAUCGUUUUUUCGUCAAGCUGAUCAAUUGGCCGCGAUUAAGCGAGAAAUCGAUUCGAAAUCGAUCACGACCAUUCGAAAGUUUAUCUUUCGAAUCGGCCGAGUAACCCGGUCCACUCGACUUACCUUUGUCUUUCAACAAUGACCUGGAUAGGUAUCGAUCCGGGCCUCGAUCUUACCGUCGACCUUCGCCUUAAUCUCGGACUCGAUCACGAUCUAAUUUUCGGCUUUUGAUCGGCGUCCUUGUAGCGACGACGAACGCCAACGUUAUAUCGGGUAUUUUCGUCCGAACGUACACCGACCAAUGUUCGUUCCUAGCACGAGAACUCGCGGGAGAGAAUCGCGACCAGUCGGAUUCGCGUUUGAAAAAUAACGCGACCGUGGUUACCGAUCACGGCUCUGCCGAAUUACCGGUAACGAUAUUCGAGCCGUGGGGCUGUUUCAGUCGCGAGAGUCGUGCUCCACCGUUCCAUCGAAUAUCGGGAGACCAAAGUAACGCUCGAACGGAAAACGAACCUACGAAGACACGACGAUUCGAGUACUAAGUAGGAAAAGUAAGAAAGUCGCGUUUAAGCGCGUUUCGGAGUAUCGAAUGGGACUGCGAGUUCCCGUGGAGGACAUACUGCCUAUGAGUCCCGGCUAGUCCCACUUACCAACCAACCAGAAACCCCUUGACUAUGCGUGGAAUUCUAAGCCGCAUCUCCGCCAAUCCUCUUCCUUCCUUCGCGUUCUACGUUUACCUACACGUUGCUCUGCUCUACCUCCACCGGCCGUUCCUCUGUACGUGUGUACCGGUACAUCGACGAUCGACCCUUCUUCGGAGAGGGACGGAACCACGAGAACCGCGAGAACCAUGGAGAAUCGAGAAUCGAGAAUCGAGGUUCCGUCACGGGGGACGCCGAGAGCGCAACGACUAGCAAUCGAGAGAAUCGAGAUUCGAGAGAGUCGAGUCCCGCGAGAAAUUUCUUCUCCGUCCUUCUUGUCGCGCUUUUUUCCUCGUUCGUCUGUCUCCCUCGAUCGUUCCCUCUUCCCUACGAUCUCUCAACUUUUUCAAACACGAUUGUUAGCUCGUUCUAUCGUUA
This is a long non-coding RNA of Megachile rotundata (alfalfa leafcutting bee), 3185 nucleotides long. Lineage: Eukaryota; Metazoa; Arthropoda; Insecta; Hymenoptera; Megachilidae. The record is from RefSeq and is a predicted model, not a curated record.